Chelonia mydas (Green sea turtle) is the source of this 4325-nucleotide long non-coding RNA. RefSeq lists it as uncharacterized. The record is from RefSeq and is a predicted model, not a curated record. The transcript is spliced from 3 exons. Lineage: Eukaryota; Metazoa; Chordata; Testudines; Cheloniidae.
UCUCAGGGCAGGCAAGACCUGUCCCACGGGGGCUAAUCUGUACGGCCCGAGCCAGGGACACACGCUACAAGCAGCAGGAGUUUGCAGCACGUUCCCCCAGAAGUCACUGCACAGGGGAAGCAAAGGCGGCAAGAGCCCAGGCUGAGGGAUUCAUUUGCUUGAAGCUAGGUCACAGCAGUGCCUGGACAGUCUGCUGGAAGUCUGUGUCCAUUUCUGGUGUCAGCCAAGAAGGAAAUAGCUAAAUUGAAAAGAGUUCAGAGAAGAGCUUCAAGAAUGAGUAAAGGAUUAGCAAACAUGUCUUAUCGUGAGAGACUCCAGAAGCUCAAUCAGUUUACCUUAACAAAGAGAAGGUAUCUCUGACACUGGUCUCAUCUGAUUUCUAAGAAACUACAGACGAGCUGAGAGAGAAGGCAGCAAGGAAGCAUCAGGAGUGCCCUGAACAAGUACUUAGUGUGUGGUCCUCAAAAAGCAUAGAGAGAGAGAUUUUGGGCCAGUUGCUGGCUAACGGAAGUAUGGGACUGUCAGGUUUGGGUCUGUGAGCAAGAAAACGGUCUCCUGUUGUUUAGCUCCUCCCGUGUUCAGGGAAACAGAACAUUCUACAUUCUCUCUACAUGAACAAGAUUGCAUUAAAGGUACCUGAACCCAUCAUAGAUUUCUCCUCCUAACUGGAACAACCUGCAGGGCCCCAAACUGUGACUAGCCACUUAGGUCAAAAGUGGUAACACUAACUACAGUGAGAAACUGGAAAAUCAAAGGCAUUCCUCAUAUGCUGAUCCCAGACUCUUCUUGGCAUAUGAGCCUCUCCCCAGAAAUCCAUUAGAUCAGGAAAAUAAUCAACUCCUCUCAAAUGUUGUCAAGCGCAAUCUUCUUGCUUUCUGCUUAAACAGAAUCAAUUUUUCAGCUCCUCUUCUAAGGUGUUAUUGUGUCACCUACUUGUGGCAUCCAUGUUCUGUGUCAAUGUUCUCAUUGUGGUUGCCUCUCAUAGGUUGCGUGCCAACCUGUCACACAGCCAGUAGGACCGUAGUAAAUGGCUCUGCAGCAGAAGGUUGUCAUUUGCAGUGCUCUCUUUUAGGCAGACAGCAGAAGCUGUAGCCAGCAGAGAUAGUCCAUAGCCACUAAGUCUUUACAGGGCUCAACUCAUUUGAGGUAAAUCUACCUUCAUGGGCAAGUUUAAGACGAAACUCCUGUGAAGCUACAGAUACAGACUUCCCCCGACCCUCCAGCUUUAUGUAAUGAAAGUGCCUUAGGCCAUUGGUGUUUGCUUUUGGAAUAUGCAGCUUUUCUUAAGCUUGGAGCCUUUCCAAAGUGACUUGGCUGUGAGCUUAAUUGGAAACCCUUAAUUCUCAUUUCAAAUACAGUACCAACCUUGCCUCACCUUCCCUUCUCUCCCCAAUUUCCCUCUGAGCCUGGAGCUUUGUGGAAGGAACAUCUGGCUGUGAUCCUCAAUGCCUUGUUUCGAACAUCAUUCGUCCCUCAAUUUUUCUGCCAGGACAAGUACCAGCAGAAACCCAUUUUCAUUUUGCUCCAUCUGCUUGGAGCAGAAAAGCUGUUGGCUGUAAACCUGCAGUGUUCAAUGUCCUUGCCCAGAUAGUCAUUAUGGAACAGAAAUGGGUGCUUGGGGAAGAAUUCUGAGACCUCAGGGCCCAAUAGAGGAAAAAACUAUAGGUAGUGCCCUGCUGCCAAAUCCAGAUCUUCAGUCUCUUCCAAAUUCUGGGAUCCUGGAUUCACUGCUCAUUCCUGGCAUCUGUUGUGCAACGAAGAUUCCCUCUCUCUUUGUCCCUUAACAUGGCAGGCUAUAUUGAAUAGCAAGUCCUAGGUAUGCUGUUUGGUUCCUCAAAGAAUGGACAAGCUUUUUCUUCAGCCCUUGAUCUUCAUUCAUUGUCAUGGCCUUUUGCUGUUAUCCAGUACUGCCACCCCCAAAGUUCAAAACUCAUGAUUCAAAUGCCCCCCAAAAUGAGAUUUUUUUUAAAAGAAAACCAUUGUGAUUCUUGGUUAGCUUUCAGACUCUUGUCUGUAUGUGGGGAGUGGGGCUGGAGGAGGGUGACACCUACUGUUGUCAUCUCUCAGUAUACAGUAAGUAAAGUAACUUAUUUUGGGGGGUGGGAAGGAGGCCACUGCAGGAGCUCUGGAUAGAAGAUGCAAUUGAGAUAAAAUUAUAAACUUGCCUCAGAUACUGCCCGAUAGUGUAGAGGGCUUCAACCCCCAAAUUUCCAAUUAUUUCUCUGCACUCCCAGCCCCAGAUCUGCCCCUUGGUUUCUGUGCACCUUGUCUCCUCCUGUAGCUAUGGAGGCUCUUAACCUCCCCACCUCGCCCUAAGGUGGCACGCGGGGCACCUCCAGAAAUUCUUCACCCCUCACUCCUAGGCCUGGAGUUGUCUAGCUAGAGAAGAGCUGCCUGCCUCUGUUUUUUUCCUUUUUUCCACAAGGGAGGAGGAAGCGAGCUUCCCUGAGCUGCUGGGUUCUCUCAGCUUCCUCCCCUCUUGGGACAAUGGUAUUGGCUGCUCCUUCCCCUACCCAGAAACUUCUGUGGGUCUUGGGGAGAGAGCUCUGCCUGCCAAAGGCAGCAGCUAUAAUAGAAUCAUAGAAUAUCAGGGUUGGAAGGGACCUCAGGAGGUCAUCUAGUCCAACCCCCUGCUCAAGGCAGGACCAAUUCCCCAAUUUUUGCCCCAGAUCCCAAAUGGCCCCCUCAAGGAUUGAACUCACAACCCUGGGUUUAGUAGGCCAAUGCUCAAACCACUGAGCUAUCCCUCCCCCAAAGACUAUGUGCUCCAGGUGGGGCUCGAACUCACAACCUCGGCAUUGCUCUGCUCUGUACUGCUGUAUAAGUACUGCGCGCUAACCGAUUGCGCCACUGGAGCUGUGCUUCUCCAGGAGCCAGGGAAGUAAGGAAGGCAGCCAAUAGGAGGCCCUUCCGUCUUGGUAGAUCUGAAAAAUCAACAUGAGCAAAGAACUUCUUUCUCUUUCUCUCUCUCUCUCACCGAGACUGCCUGCAGCAAUGGCCAAAAUCCUGGCAACAAACUGUGAGAGUUGAUAACACCUGUUGCACCUAACCUUUGAGGACAUUAACAAGUGACUGUUUGUUGGCCUGAAUGAUGCCCUGUUUGGAACGUCCAGUUGUGCACUGGGUUUUCCUGAAUUACCAGCAUUUGUCUAUGACUGGUUCUUCUUGUAACUCCAGAUGGUUGCCAGUGCCUGAUUAUCUGUCUCUGGCCAGCUGACAGCGCGUUCCUAGGAAAUCUUCUGAAACAUCCUUGGUGAGAAAGGAGUUGUUAGCAGGACAAUGCUGAAGAAGAAGCUGAUACCAUUUAAAAGAGCAGGCAAAUGAGCUCUCUGAUGCAAUGCAGUGCUAUUACCACUUGUAAGCAUCUUCUGGCAAACUUGAUCUUUGGUCAACAGACCAGUGGUCCAGUUGGACUAUUAACAUACAGAGGUAAAGGUUUAUCAUCAGAAAUAUCUGUGCCAUGGUAAGGAUUCUAAACCAUGUGUGAUCCCAUUAACUAGUUAGACUAGGCAAGAUGUUAUCAUACAAUCACCCAUGUGGUAAGUUAUUUGAUAUGUUUUAUCAGCUUGAUAUAUGGCAUAUCUGUACGGUCUGAUUUGUCUUUACAGUCACUUCUAUUUCAGCGUUUUAAAAGUGUUUUUGUAUGUUUUAUCUGUAUAAUGUAUAGGAUGUGAUGGGAUCCCUGGGGUACAAUCUGGAACUGGGGUACCAUUAUGCCCCCUUAUCUCUCAAGCCUUGGCUGUCUUUCACAAGGGUUUUCUAGUGAUAACAGCAAACCCCUCCAGGCGCUGUUAUCACUCAGUACAAUAGCAUGUGGAGCCCAACACCCAGCUAAAUUGCAUGAAUGCUCCCUGAGACACUCACAAAUCACACAGAGAAAAGCACCAGCAAAUCUCCCAAGCCCCCAGGCUUGCACCCCAGGACUGUAUUGUCUUGCCCUGGUUAGAAGCCUGACCAGUGUAAGUUCAUUACCGAAUCUGUCCCUCCCUCAAUGUGGUGAGGACACACACUGGCCUUUGUAAACUGAGCUGAGAUUUCCCAGGCACUUCAACCAAACCACACACUGUUUUAGGUAAAACACAUAAGACAGAUUUAUUAACUACAGAAGGAAAUAUUUGAAGUCAUUAUAAGUCAUAGGCACAAGAGGUCAGACAUAGUUACCAAAGAAAAUAAAAUGUAAGAGUAAGCUUGCAGUCUAAAUCCUGAACCUUAUUAGACUAAGGGUAUGUCUAGACUACGAAAUUAGGUUGAAUUUGUAGAAGUCGGUUUUUUAGAAAUCGGUUUUAUAUAUUCGAGUGUGUGUGUCCCCACAGAAAAUGCUCUAA